This 332-nucleotide ribosomal RNA is filed under the name uncultured bacterium. Its description in RNAcentral is "bacterial SSU rRNA". It matches the Rfam family "Bacterial small subunit ribosomal RNA", at positions 568 to 898 of the family's 1533-position model. The record is from RNAcentral.
CGUGUAGGCGGGAAAGCAAGUCAGAUGUGAAAUACCGAGGCUUAACUUCGGAGCUGCAUCUGAAACUGCGUUUCUUGAGUGUCGGAGAGGAAAGUGGAAUUCCCAGUGUAGCGGUGAAAUGCGUAGAUAUUGGGAGGAACACCAGUGGCGAAGGCGACUUUCUGGACGAUAACUGACGCUGAGGCGCGAAAGCGUGGGGAGCAAACAGGAUUAGAUACCCUGGUAGUCCACGCCGUAAACGAUGGAUACUAGGUGUGGGAGGUAUCGACCCCUUCCGUGCCGCAGUUAACACAAUAAGUAUCCCACCUGGGGAGUACGGCCGCAAGGUUGAA